RNAcentral lists this ribosomal RNA (454 nucleotides) under uncultured organism. Its description in RNAcentral is "partial 16S ribosomal RNA". It matches the Rfam family "Bacterial small subunit ribosomal RNA", at positions 330 to 800 of the family's 1533-position model. The record is from RNAcentral.
CGUACACUCCUACGGGAGGCAGCAGUGGGGAAUAUUGGACAAUGGGCGCAAGCCUGAUCCAGCCAUGCCGCGUGAGUGAUGAAGGCCCUAGGGUUGUAAAGCUCUUUCACCGGUGAAGAUAAUGACGGUAACCGGAGAAGAAGCCCCGGCUAACUUCGUGCCAGCAGCCGCGGUAAUACGAAGGGGGCUAGCGUUGUUCGGAUUUACUGGGCGUAAAGCGCACGUAGGCGGACUAUUAAGUCAGGGGUGAAAUCCCGGGGCUCAACCCCGGAACUGCCUUUGAUACUGGUAGUCUUGAGUUCGAGAGAGGUGAGUGGAAUUCCGAGUGUAGAGGUGAAAUUCGUAGAUAUUCGGAGGAACACCAGUGGCGAAGGCGGCUCACUGGCUCGAUACUGACGCUGAGGUGCGAAAGCGUGGGGAGCAAACAGGAUUAGAAACCCUGGUAGUCCCAUGA